This 468-nucleotide ribosomal RNA is filed under the name uncultured bacterium. Its description in RNAcentral is "partial 16S ribosomal RNA". It matches the Rfam family "Bacterial small subunit ribosomal RNA", at positions 28 to 507 of the family's 1533-position model. The record is from RNAcentral.
GACGAACGCUGGCGGCGUGCUUAACACAUGCAAGUCGAACGGAAAGGCCCUGCUUUUGUGGGGUGCUCGAGUGGCGAACGGGUGAGUAACACGUGAGUAACCUGCCCUUGACUUUGGGAUAACUUCAGGAAACUGGGGCUAAUACCGGAUAGGAGCUCCUGCUGCAUGGUGGGGGUUGGAAAGUUUCGGCGGUUGGGGAUGGACUCGCGGCUUAUCAGCUUGUUGGUGGGGUAGUGGCUUACCAAGGCUUUGACGGGUAGCCGGCCUGAGAGGGUGACCGGCCACAUUGGGACUGAGAUACGGCCCAGAGUCCUACGGGGGGCAGCAGUGGGGAAUAUUGCACAAUGGGCGGAAGCCUGAUGCAGCAACGCCGCGUGCGGGAUGACGGCCUUCGGGUUGUAAACCGCUUUCGCCUGUGACGAAGCGUGAGUGACGGUAAUGGGUAAAGAAGCACCGGCUAACUACGUG